Molecule: ribosomal RNA, 519 nt
Filed under: uncultured Glomus
Lineage: Eukaryota; Fungi; Glomeromycota; Glomeromycetes; Glomerales; Glomeraceae
Description: SSU rRNA
Rfam family: Eukaryotic small subunit ribosomal RNA
Source: RNAcentral
AGCAGCCGCGGUAAUUCCAGCUCCAAUAGCGUAUAUUAAAGUUGCUGCAGUUAAAAAGCUCGUAGUUGAAUUUCGGGACCAAUAUGUCGGUCGUGCCUCGGUACGUACUGGCAUCGUUGGUUUCUCCCUUCUGACGAACCAUGAUGUCAUUUAUUUGGUGUCGUGGGGAAUCAGGACUGUUACUUUGAAAAAUUAGAGUGUUUAAAGCAGGCUCACGCUUGAAUACAUUAGCAUGGAAUAAUGAAAUAGGACGUUUGAUUCUAUUUUGUUGGUUUCUAGGAUCGACGUAAUGAUUAAUAGGGAUAGUUGGGGGCAUUAGUAUUCAAUUGUCAGAGGUGAAAUUCUUGGAUUUAUUGAAGACUAACUACUGCGAAAGCAUUUGCCAAGGAUGUUUUCAUUAAUCAAGAACGAAAGUUAGGGGAUCGAAGACGAUCAGAUACCGUCGUAGUCUUAACCAUAAACUAUGCCGACUAGGGGUCGGAUGAUGUUAAUUUUUAAUGACUCAUUCGGCGCCUUAAC